RNAcentral lists this long non-coding RNA (4425 nucleotides) under Lynx pardinus (Iberian lynx). Lineage: Eukaryota; Metazoa; Chordata; Mammalia; Carnivora; Felidae. The record is from RNAcentral.
GGGUCCCAAUCUAUCUGGUGAAGGAAAUUCAAGAAUGUUAAGUUGUAAUAAAACAAGUGCCAUGAAAGAGGUAUGAAAAAACAAUCUCUGAACUUAUGGAAAUAGGAAGGAUGUUCAUACUCUUUAUAUAAGACUUGACGGCAUCAGAGAGAGGGAGGCAGCGAUGGACAUGACUUCAAAGGAACAGAAAGCAGUAUCAGAUGAUGCCCAGAAGGGAAAGAGACAUAUCAAAGAAUAUUUGUUCUACAAAAAAAGAAAGAAGAAAAGAAGGAAAGGUGGAGGAUGGCAUUUUGCUGAAUUCCCAAACCAAGAAUCAUAGAGAGGUAAAAAGAUAACUAUGCUAGAAAUCAAGUGAGACAUCCAGUUAAAAGUGUUAUUCUUUGCUGUCUUGUAUUAUCUCUCAAGUAUCUUCUCUAUCUCCAAUGACAUUACCUCAUUUGAGGCUACUAGCUAUCUGAACUGAACUAUUGCAGGACUGUCCUCGUCAGUCUCACUUCCAGUCAUGAAACCUCUACUCCACCUUCUCCCUUCACUACCCACUUACCUUCUACUUUCCAUAUACCAACCUAAGAAAUCUUUCUAAAACUCAAAUGUUAUCAUUUCUCUCUCCUUACACUUAUCAAUCCCCUUUCCCUUCCUCCCACCCAAUACCUUCAGGAUAAAGUCCAAGAUCUUUUCAUGGCACAGAACUACUGGCAAGAUUUGGCUACUGCUUAUCUCUACACUCACCUGUAGCUCUAGUUCAACUGAAUUCUAUGUGAUUCAUAUGCACAUAGUGUAAGUAAUUCCAGUAAUAUGCGAGGUUCUUUCAGGUAUAGGUUUAGUCCUUUCUUUGUCUUUUGUCGGAAAAGCCUUCUCACCUCUGUCUUCUAUCAUCUUUGCAUUUAUCACACUACAUUGACAAUGUCUCCUGCCUGGGUUUUUACCAUAGACUAGAUUUUUCAUAAGAGCAGACACUGAAUCUUCUUCAUCUUUAUAGGUAUAAUGCACAGAUAUUUAAUACUUAUUAAGUUAAUGAAAAAUUUCUCCCUCUCUCUCUCCACCCCCCACAGAUUUUUGCUAUGUCUCAGCAUUUUCAGGAUUUUUAGAAACAACUUGUCUGUCUAUAAUUUGGUAAAUUCAUUAUCCAUUUCACUUAGCUGUUAUAAUUUCUGUCAUUUGAAUUGCUGUCGUUUCUGCUCAUAUUUUCUUAGUAUUCCAUAUUGUCUUUUGGUCAGAAAUAAUUUGUAUAAGUUUUCAUUACUUCAAGGUAUUCAGUAACAGGUGAUACUCUAUUCUCUUUUCUAACAAAAAACUUAUAUUACCAUUUUUCCCUGAGUAUCUUUCUUUUAUCCAUUUUGCUAGCCAUGGACUCUUUCUUCAUUUAUUAGAUGGUCUACUUUCUCUUCUAAUGUAUAUUUAUUUGUUUAUAUCUCAUACUAAUUUACAAAUUUCUCCCUUUUAUUUUGCUUGAAAAGCAACUUAGAUAAAUUCUUCUACUUUCCUGUUUUUAAAAUUUCUACAAACAUUUUUAAAUGAGAAAGAUCAAGGAAUAAUCACGAAUAGUUUCUAUUUAAUAAAGCCAGAUGUGUGGAAGAGGACUUUAAAGGCUCAGAUACUGGCCAGCUAUAUAUUUCUUUUCAUGCAUGAUAUUUACAUGUGUGCAUGAUAAGUUUAAAUCCAUUCUGGUGAAUUUUUUUUGGCAAAUAUGGAAUCAAUUAUGUGAAUCUUAUACAAAACUCAGAAAUACAGCAAAAACUGUUUCAUGUUAUAAUGACUGAAGUCUGGAUAAUAUGUCAUAUCAUAUAAUAUAAUAUAAAGAGCCAUUUAGCUUAACAGAUGCCACGACUGUGGAAUAUUUUCCACAAUAAGUCAAUAAGAUACCAAACCAAAUGCACAAACUCUCUCAUCCACUAUGUAUGGGGGGCGGUUUCAAAAUACACUUGGGAUGCUCUUGAAGAGGCUGUGAAUCAGUACCAUUCCAGCCUAAAUUUUCAAAUGUCUAAGUAAAAAGCACAUCAUAUUUGCAGGCAAUUAUGCACUCUACAGUGGAAAAAAUAAACCUCAAAGAUACAUAAGGUCUUGGCUAUAAUUGCAGCUGAUGAUCACCAUCUCACAACCUUUUUCUCGUGGCUUUUGUUAUAUAGUAUAUUCUUAACUUUUCUAAUUCCUGGUCUUCACUUCUUUCUGCUUUGAUGUAUGACAUGCUUCUCUCCAGCUGAACCUGGAAAUUUGCUAAGGUACUUGCCAUUUUCCCUCCGAUUAUUUUUUAUUCAUAAUUUCCUCAGAAUUAUAAGUAUGCCUGGCUUUAUGGCUUUACAAUCUGACCAUGAAAGGUGUUGUUAUAGCUCCUCUUGGUCAUCUACGUGCUAGUCAGUAUUUCAAUUGCUAAGAGGAUAUAUCGAUAUGGGUCCCACUUUCUUAUUAGGUUAUGUAUAAACUACACAGGACCCUUCACUUCACUAGAGGUUAGGGUCCUACCAACUAUCCUUUCUUUUUCUUAUUAUUUUGGUUAUCCUUAACUUCUAAGUUUAGAGCAAUAGCGGCUGUUCUUGUUUUCCUCUAUUUCACCUGAGACCAUUCUUUAAUAGGUCAGUGUGUUUAUGCCUCUGAAAUGGCCAUCAUUUCCCCCGUCUUAUUUCCUUCGCUGGUCAGGAUCUUAUAAUUGUAGACCUACAUUUUUUUUAACAGUAGCUUCUCAGCUCUAUUUCUCAAAUAUUGUCACUGAAAAUCUAGUCUGGAUGAGUUAGUUUUGUAAGAUGCCACCUGUGUACUAUAACUCUCUUAACAUGACCGUCCACUAUUAGCUGCAUCUAGUUUGCUCCUUUGCUUGACUUUCGUUGUCUUCCACAACAGAUUCACAGGAUGUGGAUGCAUCUCUCUCUCUCAGCCAGAACACGGGCACCCUGCAGCAGCGGGUUUCAUUUGCACAGUAUGGACUGGGAAUCAGGAAAUACGGGAUCUAAAUGUGGUUCAUCUAAAUGAACACAUGCAUGGUGUUCACAGGGAUGUUCAUGUCAGCUCUUUGAAAGUUUAUUUAUCUGUAAAAUGGGCAUAAUGAAAUCUACUUUCCCAGGGUUUUUUGUGAUAGUCAAAUUAAAAUAAACACAUUGAAAAUAUAAAGUGCCACAGAAACAUCAGCUAAUGCAAUGAUGCUAGAACUCCCUAGCUACCCUCAGAAGCUAGCUGCAUCGAUACAGUGCAGCUGCCUCUACUUUUUCACAAAAAGACUACAGAAUAUUACUAACACAGUACUGUGUGAUGAGCAACUCUUUACUCAUAAUGUUUGGAAGAGUUUUUUUCCCCCUAGCUUAACUUUUGUAAGGUAAAAAUAAAGAGGGCAGGAGGAAGGUUUUCUGUAGGAUCACUGUUAUUUCGAAUCUGUCAGAAUAAAUAUUUCUAAAGAAGAAAGGAAAGCUAAACGGGGAGAGAAGAGAUGAAAUAAGAGAAAGGAGUACUUUGAUACAGUAAAGAUAACAUUUUAUAAUCCAACUGCACCCCCGGAUUUUGCCUUUUGAAUGAAUCAGCUGGCUGAGAACUUUUUGAUCCAAAACAGGGAAAGAUGCCAGCUGGCAACUCUAAAGGCUAAAAGCAGAGAUCCUCCAACUUCUAUCAAAAGGUUUUAAUAAGAAACACACAUUUAAUUUAUUACAGAAGAAGCAAGGAAAGAUCUCAUCGUGCAGUCUUGCCAUAUUUGCUAGAAAUUGUAUGUUCGAAGGCCUAGGGCAGGAAUAUUUUGACAUAUAUAAGGAAUUUUUAUUUCAUGCUUUGCUCACUGCACUGCAGAUGUUUUUAUUUAUUUAUCUGUUUGUUUGCUUUUUGCAUCCCAAAUGGUGUGAUGUUAGCCUAUCAGCAGGAUGUGGGAUCAACUCUGGAAAAUGAAACUCUAAUUCAAAACAGUGUUGGCAACAUCUAGAGGCAUUUAUAUUUGGGGAGGUGUGUGUCAUGGCAAGUGAUGAGAAAUUUAAACGUACUGGAGUCCAAUUUGUGGAUGUUGGGGAGUCUUACGCUCAUUAUUAACUAAUUCCAGCCUAUUUACUUAAUCCUCAAAUCAAUUUUAACAGCAUUAGGAUAUUAGAAUAUUGGAUGUCAUAUUAUAGGUUUGGUAAGAAAUAUGCCCAAUGGAGUAAAUCGGGAUAUAGGAGAAUGCUGCACAUUUCAUAAUUUUAUACUAAGCAGUCAAGUUUUCAUUCUGGUAGGUCAUUUGAUUCUCUGCAGGUGGCUAUGCCUGCCUCUGAAGAGAGAGCCCUGAGUCACAUGUUACACAAAUGAAAUGCGAUUAUCUUUGUGGGUAGCAUCGUAUGAUUUGGAACAAGUCUUUAGGUCUAAUAUAAAGAUCCUUCAAAUAAAUCAUCCAGCUAAGCUUCUGUGGCCCCAAACUCCUAAUUUAAAAAUGUUGAUAAAUGAAGUACCUCUUUAGUUAAUAAAUGAAGUAUCUCUUUAGUU